Molecule: ribosomal RNA, 421 nt
Filed under: uncultured bacterium
Lineage: Bacteria
Description: partial 16S ribosomal RNA
Rfam family: Bacterial small subunit ribosomal RNA
Source: RNAcentral
AAUAUUGGACUAUGGGGGCAACCCUGACCCAGCCAUGCCGCGUGUGUGGAGAAGGUCUUCGGAUUGUAGAGCACUCUAAGUUGGGAGGAAGGGCUUUAGUUUAAUACUCUGAAGUUUUGACGUUACCAACAGAAUAAGCACCGGAUAAACCUGUGCCAGCAGCCGCGGUAAUACAGAGGGUGCAAGCGUUAAUCGGAAUUACUGGGCGUAAAGCGCGCGUAGGUGGUUCAGUAAGAUGGGUGUGAAAUCCCCGGGCUUAACCUGGGAACUGCUUUCAUAACUGCUGAGCUAGAGUACGGUAGAGGGUAGUGGAAUUUCCUGUGUAGCGGUGAAACGCGUAGAUAUAGGAAGGAACACCAGUGGCGAAGGCGAUUACCUGGACUGAUACUGACACUGAGGUGCGAAAGCGUGGGGAGCAAAC